RNAcentral lists this ribosomal RNA (253 nucleotides) under uncultured bacterium. RNAcentral's name for it is "partial 16S ribosomal RNA". It matches the Rfam family "Bacterial small subunit ribosomal RNA", at positions 524 to 776 of the family's 1533-position model. The record is from RNAcentral.
UACGGAGGGGGCUAGCGUUGUUCGGAAUUACUGGGCGUAAAGCGCACGUAGGCGGCUUUGCAAGUCGGGUGUGAAAUCCCCAGGCUUAACCUGGGAACUGCAUUCGAGACUGCAUUGCUAGAGUAUGGGAGAGGGAAGUGGAAUUUCCGGUGUAGCGGUGAAAUGCGUAGAUAUCGGAAGGAACAUCAGUGGCGAAAGCGACUUCCUGGACCAACACUGACGCUCAUGUGCGAAAGCGUGGGGAGCAAACAGG